GCGAGGGUAGUGUAAUGGUAGCACGCAAGACUUCAGAUCUUGAAGCGAAGACUCCAAUCUUCUAGUGUGGGUUCGAUUCCCAUCUCUCGCU
Molecule: transfer RNA, 91 nt
Filed under: Flexibacter sp. CG_4_10_14_3_um_filter_32_15
Lineage: Bacteria; Pseudomonadati; Bacteroidota; Cytophagia; Cytophagales; Flexibacteraceae
Description: tRNA-Sec
Rfam family: tRNA
About the family: Transfer RNA (tRNA) molecules are approximately 80 nucleotides in length. Their secondary structure includes four short double-helical elements and three loops (D, anti-codon, and T loops).
Source: RNAcentral